RNAcentral lists this ribosomal RNA (250 nucleotides) under uncultured bacterium. RNAcentral's name for it is "partial 16S ribosomal RNA". It matches the Rfam family "Bacterial small subunit ribosomal RNA", at positions 524 to 773 of the family's 1533-position model. The record is from RNAcentral.
UACAGAGGGUGCGAGCGUUAAUCGGAGUUACUGGGCGUAAAGGGCGCGUAGGCGGUUGAUUGAGUGAGUUGUGAAAUCCCUGGGCUUAACCUAGGAAUUGCAACUCAUACUGGUUGACUGGAGUGCAGUAGAGGAUAGUGGAAUUUCCGGUGUAGCGGUGAAAUGCGUAGAUAUCGGAAGGAACACCAGUGGCGAAGGCGACUAUCUGGACUGACACUGACGCUGAGGCGCGAGAGCGUGGGGAGCAAAC